Molecule: long non-coding RNA, 3977 nt
Organism: Galleria mellonella (greater wax moth)
Lineage: Eukaryota; Metazoa; Arthropoda; Insecta; Lepidoptera; Pyralidae
Exons: 2
Source: RefSeq, a predicted model, not a curated record
AUCACCGUGCGCAUACGCAAUUUGUGGUACGUUCCCUUUUAGUUUGAUACCGACCGCGGUCGAGAGCAGACGUUCAUUUGUCGUAAGAACUCUACAUGUAGCACAUAAAAGUUUACUGAUCACUCGAUGACCCGUAUUAUAAGUAGAUAUAGCGUAAGUGUAAGAAGUACUUUUUGUAAAAAGUGCUUAUUGUAAUAAGUGUUUAUUGUAAAAAGUACUUACAUAUAAUAUUGUAAGAACGUUAGUUUUGAAAAUAAAUAUUUAGCACGCCUUGAGUUUCAUUUAGUAAAUAACGACGAGAUAUAAAAAUUCAAUAAUAUUUUGCUUAUAAAAAAAUAAUUAAAGAUUUGCCCACAAAAAAAAAACCGACUUCAAUUGUGACAAAACCAGUUAUUUUAAUUUAAAUACUGAAACCGGUUUUGAUAAAAUUUUUAUGGAACCAAUCUGUAAGUUUUAGAUAAAAAAAAAUAUUUUUCUAAAUCGAUUUACAACUGACGGAGUUGAGGUAACAAAUAUAAAAAAGACUACCGAAUUGAGAACCUCCUUCUUUUUGAAGUCGGUUAAAAAGGGACAAAAUUGAUACAUAGGAGCAACACGAAAGUAGUAUUGUUAAAAAAUCAAAAUUAAAAGAUAACACCUUUUUGGAGUUGCUUUAUGUUAACUUUAAGCAACAUUUGUAUUAUGUAUAGGAUGGACCUAAACGUUUGCUAUAAAAAAAAGUAAUCGCAAUCGGUAAAUAAUUAGUGAAAACAGCAUAACAAACAUUGGAAUGAAAUAAAAUAUAUUGCAAUUGAGACGCUUCGCCCUUUUUCAAAUUAAUUGGGAAAAAAUCAAGCAGUAAAAAAACAUUAGUUUUCCAAAUUGAUAUGUUACGUGUUAAUUUAGAUGAUUCUUUUUGCAAAUGACAGUGGUUACUCGCACUUACAUUUAUCACAUUUGAUUUUUUUUUUUUGUAUUUUACAACAAUGGUAUAAAUUAUCACAAAUCUUCACGCUUUCGAUUACGACAAAGGGUAAACAGACGUGUGAUUGCAUUGUUUACAAUAUCACACAAGGCCAUUGCUUUUUUAAAUGUCACACGUCGCUAGUUAUCGUGGUGGUUAUUAUGUUAACAAACAACUUUGAUUCUUAUGUCAGUAUAAAUAAACACUAAUAUGGUAUAACAAUGGGAUAAUGAUAUAAUGAACGUAGGGCUCUAUUUAUGGGUAAAGUCAGAAGCGACAGCGGAAGGUCAAACAGAUACAAAGUUGCCUAUGUCCUUAUCUGCAACAAAUAAUACGUGUAUGUCAAAUUUUAUGCCAAUUGGUUGAGCAGUUAAGGCGCAAAGAGGUAACAAACAAACUCAAACUCAUAGGGAUUUCUUCUUCUAAAUUAUAACUAGCUGUGCUAGCGACUUCGUCUGCAUGAAUGGAAAAAAUAGCCUAUGCCCUUAUCCUUGUCAAAAACUACAUGCAUACCAAAUUUCAUAACAAUUGGUUGAGCCGUAAAUGAGUAAAACGGUAACAAACAAACAAAUAGAUAUCUUUAUUAAUUGGUAACGUCCUUGUUUUUUUUUUUUAUACAACUAUUAUUAUAAAUGUGGAAGUUUGUAAAGAUAGCUGUAUAUAUGUUACUCAGACACAUCUUAAAUUUGGUAUAUAGAUAAAUGUUGAUAUCUUAACAUAACACACACAGAACAAUAUUUAUCUAGAUUGGGACCAAUAAGACGGAGAUUUUGCGCAUAGGUUGUUUGUUUGGGUACCACUGUCCCAUUCAUGUUUCUAUUGUUAAGCAGUUGUGUUUGCAUGGCUGUGUUUCGGUUUGAAGGGUGGGAUAUGGUAGUGAAUUUACAGGGUACAGAGGAAUAACACUUUAUUUUUCAGUAUUAUGGGCGAAGCAGUAUACUCUGUUACGUCUAUGGUACUGAUCGUGUCUAUAGGCGCCGGUUACCACUUUCCAUUAGAUGGGCCAUCAGCUUGUUUUGCCAUUCUACGAGUAAGUUGGAUAAAAAAAAAGUUUGAUGUGAGCACAGCCGCGGGAUAUAGCUAGUAACUAUAUACAUAAAACGAGAAAUUGAACACGUGUCUUAUUAUUAACUCUUCAGUUUUUGCAUCCAACUGGAAAAAGCAAGUAUAGUGAUCUUAGUUGUGAAAUCUCAUAAGAGGUUUAAUAGAUUGCUUCCUUCAUGUUAAAUAGAAUUUAACAGCGGUGAACAAGCUGAGAGCUCUUAUUACAGACACGGAAAGGUAGUCAGGCAAUUCACAUAAUUCUACCACUGGCAUGUAGUGUUCUAGAUGCAAUGUACGUUACAUAAUCACCACAGUCCAAAGAACUCUUUCCUAUCCGUCGUCACAACGGUCACGUCUAUAGUCUGUUAAGAAAAAAUCUAAUAAAAAAGUGAUCAAGCUUUGAGAACAUUAUCACUGAAAUUAACGCAGUGUAGUCCCGGCAUAAAAUAGGCCAUCCCUUCCUUUCCCAUGAGUGGCGACUAAAAGACCUUAACGGUCGAAGGAUGGAAAAAAAACUUUAUAAAAAGAUGAUCAAAUUUUUAAGGAAAUUAUCACUGAAAUUAAGACAGUGUAGUCCCGGCAUAGAAUAGGCCACCCCAUCCCUUUUCAGAGUGUUGAAAGAGGCGACUAAUGGAACUGUCGAAGAAUGGGCAGCAGCGUUCCUCUCAAAACAUCACCAGAGAUUAACUGCGGUUGCCAACCUGCCUAUCACGCAUGGCAAAUAUGGGCUAAACCCCUCUCAUAGGGGAUGCCUAUGUUCAGCAAUGAAAAGCUCAUUUAAACAAUUGAUUAUUUUUUUUUAUCUGUACUAUUUAGAUAUAAAUAAAUUGUAUUAGAGUCAGGACAAUAAUCCGUUUAUUUACACUUUCAUUAAAUUCUAUUGAAAUUGCCCACAGCCACUUUCUACCAUCGUACGGCUCGCCAUCGACAGGGGGUUCAUCCUCAUGUCCUACAGCCUCAAUGGUCGCGUACUGUGCGGUUUCAGAGAUGUUUCCUCCCACGAACAUUCAGGUUGUGAAAUGAGCUCCCUGCCGAGGUUUUCCCAAGAGACUACAGCAUGGGGUUCUUCAAAAGGGGGUAAAGAGGUUUCUUCUGGGUCGGCAACGCACGCGUAAAUCCUCUGGUAUUGCAGGUGUUCAUAGGCUACGGUAACCACUUACCAUCAGGUGGGCCGUAUGCUUGUUUGCCACCUCAGUGGUAUAAAAAAAAAUUAUAAAUAGAGCAAUGUCACAAUAGUCCUACAGUCGUUUGGGACAUGCCAAAGGCGGUGGACUACAAUUUAUUCCUUACGCUGUACAUUCAGACAUAUGUUUUGAAUGUACCUAUAUUAGUAUGCAGUGUAUAGUAUUGAAAUGAAAUGCACAGAAAAGGUAUUGCAAAUGCAUUGUUCGUAUUCGACGACGAUUACGUAAAAUCGUGUAAAAUACAAGGAAAAAGUAAGUAAACGACUAAUUUAUCAUGCAUCCUUGAAUGGCUUCAAGAAACAGGUGAGUCAAUAUCUGACACAUUGGUGCAAUUUUAUCUUCGUGUGCAUUUGUAAAUGUAUUGUCCUACAUAAGAAAUACAGCUAUGAAAGCUUCGUUCUAUUGAAGUAAAAGGAGAAUAGAGGGAGACUUUGUACAAAAGUCGAUUGCUUGGAUACCUCUGUUCCAUUCGUGUUUCAACCGUAAAGCAGUUGUGUUUGCAUGGCUGUGUUUCGGUUUGAAGAGGGGAUAUGGCGUGAAUUUACUGGGUACAGAGGAAUAACACCUGAGUCCUCAGGAAUGGCAACGCAAGGGGGGAUAUCAUAGGCGAAACAGUGUACUCUGUUAUGUCCAUAGUACUGCCCAUGUCUAUUAGCGACGGUUAUCACUUUCCAUCAGGUGGGCCGUCAGCUUGUUUGACAUUCUAAGUUGUAUAAAAAAAAACAAAUAUUAAGACUUUAAUAUGUCGAUGAGUAAGGCUUACCCACCUCGAUGGGUUACAAAUAAAGUACUUUUUUUAUAAAAAA